AGAGUUUGAUCCUGGCUCAGAUUGAACGCUGGCGGCAGGCCUAACACAUGCAAGUCGGGCGGUAACACGGGGAGCUUGCUCCUGGGUGACGAGCGGCGGACGGGUGAGUAAUGUCUGGGAAACUGCCUGAUGGAGGGGGAUAACUACUGGAAACGGUAGCUAAUACCGCAUAAUGUCGCAAGACCAAAGAGGGGGACCUUCGGGCCUCUUGCCAUCAGAUGUGCCCAGAUGGGAUUAGCUAGUAGGUGGGGUAACGGCUCACCUAGGCGACGAUCCCUAGCUGGUCUGAGAGGAUGACCAGCCACACUGGAACUGAGACACGGUCCAGACUCCUACGGGAGGCAGCAGUGGGGAAUAUUGCACAAUGGGCGCAAGCCUGAUGCAGCCAUGCUGCGUGUAUGAAGAAGGCCUUCGGGUUGUAAAGUACUUUCAGCGGGGAGGAAGGUGUUGUGGUUAAUAACCACAGCAAUUGACGUUACCCG
Molecule: ribosomal RNA, 482 nt
Filed under: uncultured bacterium
Lineage: Bacteria
Description: bacterial SSU rRNA
Rfam family: Bacterial small subunit ribosomal RNA
Source: RNAcentral